CCUACGGGUGGCAGCAGUGGGGAAUAUUGGACAAUGGGGGCAACCCUGAUCCAGCCAUGCCGCGUGUGUGAAGAAGGCCCUCGGGUUGUAAAGCACUUUCAGUGAGGAAGAACGCCUGGUGGUUAAUACCCAUCAGGAAAGACAUCACUCACAGAAGAAGCACCGGCUAACUCCGUGCCAGCAGCCGCGGUAAUACGGAGGGUGCGAGCGUUAAUCGGAAUUACUGGGCGUAAAGCGCGCGUAGGUGGCUUGAUAAGCCGGUUGUGAAAGCCCCGGGCUCAACCUGGGAACGGCAUCCGGAACUGUCAAGCUAGAGUGCAGGAGAGGAAGGUAGAAUUCCCGGUGUAGCGGUGAAAUGCGUAGAGAUCGGAAGGAAUACCAGUGGCGAAGGCGGCCUUCUGGACUGACACUGACACUGAGGUGCGAAAGCGUGGGUAGCAAACAGGAUUAGAUACCCGAGUAGUC
This 465-nucleotide ribosomal RNA is filed under the name Vreelandella stevensii. RNAcentral describes it as "partial 16S ribosomal RNA". It matches the Rfam family "Bacterial small subunit ribosomal RNA", at positions 338 to 795 of the family's 1533-position model. The record is from RNAcentral. Lineage: Bacteria; Pseudomonadati; Pseudomonadota; Gammaproteobacteria; Oceanospirillales; Halomonadaceae.